Aedes albopictus (Asian tiger mosquito) is the source of this 6444-nucleotide long non-coding RNA. RefSeq lists it as uncharacterized. The record is from RefSeq and is a predicted model, not a curated record. The transcript has 2 exons. Lineage: Eukaryota; Metazoa; Arthropoda; Insecta; Diptera; Culicidae.
GACCAUUGCACAAUGGUCCGAAUCCACGUUUUAGCAGGAAAAAAAUCCGUAUCUCUGUUUUCGUUAAUUUUAGGCAUUUGGUGUCUUCAGAGAAGUUGUUUGAAUUUGUUUGCUGCAUCUUUUCCAAAAAUUUUUGAUUAGGGUGGUCCUCGUCUUAACUCAAAUCUGGAAUAGAACUUUUAAAUUGCAAGUCAUACGCGAUCGAGUUCUUCAGCAAAGUUGUAGGCAAUGCUAUUUUGAGCAACUUUGCCGAAUACGCCGUUUAUCUAGCUCUCAAUUUGAACAUAGUAGGUCAAUUUUAAGUUUUGACUUAGGGUGAGCCACCCAAAAACGGUUUUUUCGCAAUAACUUUUUUAUUUGAUUUUUUUCGAAGAUGUGAGCUUCGGAGCAUUUGCAGAGCAAGUAAUGACGCAUAUUUGUUCUGAACAUUGCACGUUGCUAGGUCUUGUCAUUCAAAUGUUAUGGGCAAUUUUGACUUAAAAUCAACGAUGUCUUCAAAUGCUUAUAUCUCUAGGAGCUGGUAAAAUAAAAAAAGUUCUUUAAGCGGCAUUUGGAAGGUCACAUAUAAAGCCAAAUUUGGAGCAAAUAUUACAAGAACGUUAUUUUUGAAAUUGGAAUAAAUCGACUCCAAAAAAAACCCUUAAAAAUUGAAAAAACUACUAAUAAUUCAUACAAUUUCAAACAUAGAGUCAAACUGUCUUCGGGAAAAAUGUAGGUUUUUACCAUGCCUACAAGUUUUCCAUACACGAUUUUUUUUGCAAAACGUGAAACAAAAGCUUGAAAUUGAUAAUUUGAUUCUUAGGGGUCGCCAGAAUCGAGCAGAUAGCCCGAUGUGUCAACAAUGCCCCAACAGCGUCGACGAUCUAGAGCAUAAAUUUACCGCAUGCCGGCGAAAAAAUGCUUUGUGGAAACAUCUUCGACCAAGGUUGGAAACAACUCUAGGUAGGAGGAUUAGAUUCAACGACCUCCGGUUUCCAGAACUGGAAAACGUUGCCAGCAGAAGGAAGUAUCAGGCGCUAAAGAUAUUUAUUACAUACAUAAAUUUUAUUUUAGAUGCCAGUAACAAUCUUUCCGUUGAUUCGUUAGAGUUUGUUUUAAAUAGUUUGUAAAUCUGUUUUUGUAAAAAUUCGACUAGCUAAAUAAAGUUCCAGUAAAUGUGUUUUAAAAAAGGGGGUACAUGCUAUGUUUUUCUAGGAAAUCAGAACGAUUAUAUUCUUUAAAAACAAAUUAUCAAUUUCAAGCUUUUGUUUCACGUUUUUCAAAAAAGUCGUGUAUUGGAAACUUUUAGGUAUGGUGAAAACCCACAUUUUUUUCCGAAGACAGUUUGACUCUAUCUUUAAAAUUGUAUGAGUUAUAAGUAAUUUUUCGAUUUUUAAGGGGAUUUUUGGAGUCGAUUUAUUCCAAUUUAAAAAAAUAACGUUCUUGUAAAAUUUGCUCCACAUUUGGCUUUAUAUGUGACCUUCCAAAUGCCGCUUAAAGAACUUUUUUUAUUUUACCAGCUCCAUGAGAUAUAAGCAUUUGAAGACAUCGUUGUUUUUAAGUCAAAAUUGCCCAUAACAUUUGAAUGACAAGACCUAGCAAUGUGCAAUGUUCAGAACAAAUAUGCGUCAUUACUUGCUCUGCAAAUGCUCCGAAGCUCACAUCUUCGAAAAAAAUCAAAUAAAAAAGUUAUUGCGAAAAAACCGUUUUUGGGUGGCUCACCCUAAGUCAAAACUUAAAAUUGACCUACUAUGUUCAAAUUGAGAGCUAGAUAAACGGCGUAUUCGGCAAAGUUGCUCAAAAUAGCAUUGCCUACAACUUUGCUGAAGAACUCGAUCGCGUAUGACUUGCAAUUUAAAAGUUCUAUUCCAGAUUUGAGUUAAGACGAGGACCACCCUAAUCAAAAAUUUUUGGAAAAGAUGCAGCAAACAAAUUCAAACAACUUCUCUGAAGACACCAAAUGCCUAAAAUUAACGAAAACAGAGAUACGGAUUUUUUUCCUGCUAAAACGUGGAUUCGGACCAUUGUGCAUUGUUUGAGAUCCCUGGCCUGAGGAAACCUGCCAUAUUUUGUCCUCUUCUUCUUUUUUAGGGAUUUUAUUUCCUCGGGGAAACAUUUCUCCUGAGCCAAACGCACUAGUAACAUUUUUGCGAUGUUGAUCUCCUGGGCAGUCAAAAAUACUUGAGCGAUACGCUGGUUCGGUCGCCGACAGUUGGUUGCAAAUCGUAAACAGUGAACAACCAGUCUGACCAACGGAAGUAGUGAGGAUCGAAGUGCGAAUAAGAAGUUCGGCUAUACAGCUAUUGUAUUUGUUUGAAUCACGAUUCGGCGUUCCAUAUCUAUAUCGUCUAGAGAUGUUUCAGAAGAUUCGAUCGACCAUUUGGAUGGUCCCAAGUAACACAACUUGUUGCAUAAUAGUUAUAAAUUCUCUUAUAAUACUUAUUCAGUAGUAAUUUUCGUGUUAUAUCGACUUAAAACCGAGCACCUAUAUAAUCAAAACAGCGCAAAAAAUGGCGGCUUAUAAAACAUCUUACAAGUUAUAUAAGAUGUAUUUCAAUACAUUUAUAGUACUAAAAAUGUUGUCUGCGGUUUAUUAUUAGUUAUAAUUUAGUUGUUUGUCAUCAAAUGAAACAUGCAAUAAUCGGAAAAUAUACAACCCCAAUUGCUGGUUGAAAUUAAGCUGCUUUCAAGUAAUAUAACUUUCAGACGACAUUUAUAUUUCAUACCAUAUACAUAAGCUGUUAUCCUGAUAUUUGAUAAUGAUAUAACUUGCAGAAAACAUUUAUAUAACAAACACAUAAGUGAAAUAAUGCGAAGCAGAUAAACUGACAGAAAACAAAAUUGAACAAAUUCAAUUUUUAAAUCUGUGUAAAAAAAACAAACAGAUGGCUUUCCCAGCUCGAAAAAUGAUGUCUUGUGAUGCAUUAGAUUACAUUUCAUAAACUAUUCAGAUAACAAGUUCUGAAAUAGAUUUUACUCAGUGGAGGUAGUGAUGAUUUACGUGCGCUUUAAGAUUUAUGGUGAAACAUUUAUUUUUACUUCUCCAUAAAUCAAGCGCCACUCAGUUGAAUUUAAAAUGCAACAUGAUUCUACCAAAUAAUAACGCUUAAUGAAGAAAUAUUUCAAAACCACGCGCAAAGCAAUAUGGCAGCUUGCUCAGACUCACAGUGCUGUUCAAAUUUUUUGGAACAAUUUCAAUAAAAAUUUUGAUUGAACAUCCGAUUUGAAUUAUCACGAUUUUCAUGCCAUUUAAAUGAUGUAAAUAUCAUGAUAUUACCCAAACUGAAAUAUGUGAAAUUGUUUUUAAGAACAAUUGGCAAAUCGGGGAAAAUAAGAAUUUGAAUUUGUUUCAAAUUUUUAUCCACGCAAUGACUUGUAUGCAUAAGCAUUACCGGCACUGUAGUCUGCAUGCCAAUUCGUAUUCGCAACAUCAAAUAGAACAAACACUUGUUGAUAGGUUUCAAAUUACGUUUAUAACACGUCUUGGUAGCAUUUAUUCAACAUAUGCACUCAAAAGUUUCUUUGUUUGUUUUAUUGCAUUCAUUACAACACUAAAAUAACUAUAUUAUAACUUAUUCUCCAGUAAGGCAAACUGUGCCAAAUGUCAAAAUGUUGUUGUCAUUUGUUUUUGUUUUGUUCAUGGCCCUUGGAAUUUCAGGAAUACAUUGCCUAAUUAUCGACAAUUUACCCGCGCUACGCGUCCGAAACAAUCCAUUAUUAGACGGAUUCCGCGAGUGUUUCCUUAAAUCCAUGCGGAAGAAAAUAACGGUGAAGACAUGGUCACAGUGCAGUUCACAUCCGCUGGCGGAAUAUUUUGCACAGCCAACAGCUCUUCUCAGUGCUAGCACUCGUAAAGUGUAAUAAAGAAUCACACCAGCAAGCUGAAAAAUCUGUACGCUGGAGGUACGCUGUAGUUUGAAGUUCAUGGAAUUCCGAAAGUUUAUUCUGGUGCAUCGCUGAAUACGUUCGGUCUACCGUUUUGGCGUUGCGGGUGGAGUGUGAUGCUUAGCACACCCGAUAUAAUGAAUGUGGAAGCUAUCUGGAAUUGAUAUUUAUUGCAAAGUGUUGUGCAAUUAUGUCGGCUUUGUGCAACUAUGAAUAGCAUGUCGGACUGGAUUAUUUGAGAGAUGAUUGAUUGUUUAAUAAUCUUAAUUAAAAUAAUAGGUACUCCAAAACAAAAAUCAAAAAUAAAAAGUAAGUAGUGCGUCUUAAAAGAAUAUAAACACCGGUUGCUUUCACGAUAACCUUGUGUUAUGAUGGUGUAUUAAUGUUAUUUAUUGUAUUAUCAGUGCAUUUAAUGCAUAAUAAUACCGGUGAAAGUCAUAUCAAGGAGAGAAAAUACCAGUGAAAGGAAAAAAACUGUAUUUAUGUUGAUUGUUAUCGGACAACAAAACUAGAGCUUGAUAAUAACUAAAAAUGUUCAGUAAAACGCAUAUAUAACACUUAUGGAACAUAUUUUGGAAUUUUAAUUUUUGAAGAUGUUUUCUGUCUUACUUGGGGUGACUCCUUUAACCAUGAAGGUCCACUUUUCUAGAGGUCGCUGAUCACGAAAUCCUCAACAGGUACUCCUCAGGAAACUAAAUCUGCGGGAUUUUCCUUACCCGCCACCUGCUGCCAUGGGUGUCCAUAAGUUGCAGUCUGGAUGGCAUGGAUGCAACGAACGUUUUUCACGAUUUCAACCAGUGUAAGACGACUGUUGCGUCCGACCAAAAGAUUACAGCCUCUUGCCAAGGAUGCGGACAAAUACUAGACAUAACACACAUACAUACCUGCAGAACAUCUAAGACGUGCGGAUUUGAGAGCAGAACUCGGCGUAGAAGACUCAUUACUGGAAGUAAUGUGCAACGACCCAAACGCUAAGAAAGCGGGUUUAAAGCUGAUUAUGACACUGGGGUUCUAUGGAUAUUAUCUAACUGAUUGGGAGUCUGGUGUUCUAUUAAGCUAAAGGCACCUAGAGGUAAACAGGUAAACAUAUGUCGUUAAGUGACGUUAAUAAAAGUAGCUACAACCCCAAGCUUAGGAGCGCUCUGGAAAUAACUGUCCAACUGACGCCAUUGAACGCAUUCUUUACGUCAAAGGUCACUACUGCACAGAAGCGAGUUUCUCUCCUCUGUCGCUGGAAAGCUGUCUCGGCAGUAUUGGUAACCGACAAGAUAGCGUCCACUCAAAGGGUCAUACCCACCGUUUCGAGCAAGCAUAUUGGUCAAAGAGUCGUUAGGUGGUUUCCCUGCAUUCGACAAUAGGACCAGACUCUGCCUCUUCCUAACCUCCGGGAAAACUGGCUCAUCCAAACAUUUCUACAUUUCAGAUCUGAACAUUUAGGAUGCCUCUUCAAUGGCUACUGUUUGAGUCAGGUUCGAAACUCCAUCGGGACCUGGGGCCUUCAAUACGCUAAGGAAUUCUGCAAUCCCCGCAAGUUCUUCAUCGGUGACCCUUUCUAUAUCGCCCAUCUUAGUCCCGGGCGAUCCUAGGAGUUGCCUCGACCCUGUAAGCGCUACUCCACGGGUGAAGUGCACUCGAGUCUCAGUUUAAUCUCAAUUAAAACAUUGGAAUAGUAGGUAAUUGAAUAAAGUCAAAGGAAAAAGUUUGAAUGAAUCAGUUUUAAGAGUUUCUACUCAUUUGUGCUUACAAAUGAGUAACCUAUCUUGCAGCUCGAAUCGAACAACCCAUUUAUUCAAUUACUUCACCAAAAGGAUCUGAACUUGCUACGAUGAAUCAGAGCUCGUAAAAUUUAGCUAUAAUUGCUCACAAGCACUUGAACGUGCCUUCCUACCUCUGAUGGUGAGGCAAUAAUCUAAACAUAUAAGGCUUAUUCACGAUCGCUUUCGGACAGAGUCCCUCGAAACGAAAUUUUCAUUCUGAUAUUUGCCAGCUUGCACACGUGCUACUACAGCAGCUAGCUAGCUAGCUAGCAGCCGCCAAGUGUUCUCCGGUUGCGGAAAACGAACUCCAGUAUCAGCUGUACCGUGCCGUGUCCGCCCAAGUACCUAUAGGGUGGAUAAUGCCGAAGUAUCGCCGCCAUCGCCGGAUCUCAGUCAGUCCGAAGCAGUUUCAACAUCGUCGAUUUCGAUUUCCUUCUUAUUUCUUUCAAUUAACUCUCUUGCAGUUCAGUCAGACGGACGGGUUUUAGAUCUAGAGUUUAUGUGUGCUGUUUGUUGGUGCUUCCAUCCAGCCAGCAAUGGUAAAACCUCACCGCCUCGCCGCUGACUAUAAAUACAUAAGACAAGGUCGAUGCGAACGAGAAAAAGGUCAAACAUAAUUCCGAGCCCCACAAGAGUAUGGUACACGGACGACGCGACGGUAGGUACAUAUGCCCGGUUGCGGUAGACACAACAGUUUGUGGGUCUUUUUAUGUUGGAGAGGUGUUUUGGUUGUAGCACUUUAUGGCCUGACGGCAGCGGUGUCAAGUGGUGUUCAAUUUGGUGAAUUGAAAUUUAAAUUCAACCUCGUUGUUGUGUUUUUAAA